CGUGUAGGCGGCCAGACAGGUCCGUUGUGAAAACUCGAGGCUCAACCUCGAGACGUCGAUGGAAACCGUCUGGCUAGAGUCCGGAAGAGGAGAGUGGAAUUCCUGGUGUAGCGGUGAAAUGCGCAGAUAUCAGGAAGAACACCUAUGGCGAAGGCAGCUCUCUGGGACGGUACUGACGCUGAGACGCGAAAGCGUGGGGAGCGAACA
Molecule: ribosomal RNA, 207 nt
Filed under: uncultured bacterium
Lineage: Bacteria
Description: partial 16S ribosomal RNA
Rfam family: Bacterial small subunit ribosomal RNA
Source: RNAcentral